Molecule: microRNA precursor, 204 nt
Filed under: Oryza sativa Japonica Group (Japanese rice)
Lineage: Eukaryota; Viridiplantae; Streptophyta; Magnoliopsida; Poales; Poaceae
Description: MIR812 microRNA precursor family
Rfam family: MIR812 microRNA precursor family
Source: Rfam by way of RNAcentral
AAAAAGACAAACCCUGGUUUCCGUGUCCAACGUUUUACCAUCCGUCUUAUUUAAAAAAAUUAAAAAAAAAUUAAAAAGACAAGUCACGCAUAAAAUAUUAAUCAUGUUUUAUUAUCUAACAAUAAUGAAAAUACGAAUUAUAAAAAAAUUUUAUAUAAAACGGACAAUCAAAGUUGGACACGGAAACUCAGAUUUGACUUUUUU